RNAcentral lists this ribosomal RNA (468 nucleotides) under uncultured bacterium. RNAcentral describes it as "partial 16S ribosomal RNA". It matches the Rfam family "Bacterial small subunit ribosomal RNA", at positions 28 to 507 of the family's 1533-position model. The record is from RNAcentral.
GACGAACGCUGGCGGCGUGCUUAACACAUGCAAGUCGAACGGAAAGGCCCUGCUUUUGUGGGGUGCUCGAGUGGCGAACGGGUGAGUAACACGUGAGUAACCUGCCCUUGACUUUGGGAUAACUUCAGGAAACUGGGGCUAAUACCGUAUAGGAGCUCCUGCUGCAUGGUGGGGGUUGGAAAGUUUCGGCGGUUGGGGAUGGACUCGCGGCUUAUCAGCUUGUUGGUGGGGUAGUGGCUUACCAAGGCUUUGACGGGUAGCCGGCCUGGGAGGGUGACCGGCCACAUUGGGACUGAGAUACGGCCCAGACUCCUACGGGAGGCAGCAGUGGGGAAUAUUGCACAAUGGGAGGAAGCCUGAUGCAGCAACGCCGCGUGCGGGAUGACGGCCUUCGGGUUGUAAACCGCUUUCGCCUGUGACGAAGCGUGAGUGACGGUAAUGGGUAAAGAAGCACCGGCUAACUACGUG